AUUGAACGCUGGCGGCAUGCCUAACACAUGCAAGUCGAGCGGAUGAAGGGGACUUGCUCUUGGAUUCAGCGGCGGACGGGCGAGUAAUGCCUAGGAAUCUGCCUGGUAGUGGGGGAUAACGUCCGGUCACGGGCGCUAAUAUCGCAUACGUCCUGAGGGAGAAAGUGGGGGAUCUUCAGACAUCACGCUAUCAGAUGAGCCUAGGUCGGAUUAGCUAGUUGGUAGGGUAAAGGCCUACCAAGGCGACGAUCCGUAACUGGUCUGAGAGGAUGAUCAGUCACACUGGAACUGAGACACGGUCCAGACUCCUACGGGAGGCAGCAGUAGGGAAUCUUGGACAAUGGGCGAAAGCCUGACCCAGCCACGCCGCGUGAGUGAAGAAGGUCUUCGGAUCGUAAAACACUUUAAGUAGGGAAGAAGAGCUGUAAGUUUAUCUCUUGCUGUUUUGACGUUACCAACUGAAUAAGCACCGGCUAACUUCGUG
This 484-nucleotide ribosomal RNA is filed under the name uncultured bacterium. Its description in RNAcentral is "partial 16S ribosomal RNA". It matches the Rfam family "Bacterial small subunit ribosomal RNA", at positions 30 to 507 of the family's 1533-position model. The record is from RNAcentral.